UCCGUCUUCCCAUCAGCAACUGCGCCAUAAUCAUUUACAUUAAAAACACCCCGUACACUCAAAGGAAAUUCGCCGGAGGGCUCCGGCGCAAGAGAAUCAAAUCCACCGUCGGCAGAUUCAAGAGGCGUGUCCGGGGAGAAAGUGCUUGCAGAUACAGAAAGGGCCAGAAGAAAAGACAGCAAAAAUGGUGAAAGCUCCAUUGUUCUUGAAAUUCUCGGAUGCAAGAAAUUAUGGAGGAUUGACCAUCUGAUGAAUUGGUUGAAUCACUUGGAGUUUCUUCCUCCUACUUAUAGCUUGUUCGUUUCAGAACCUGAAAUUAAAAUUUCAAUAAGGGUUCUUCGGUUUGGCUUUUGAUUCUGUAAAUUCUGUAAGGAACAAUGAUCCGAAAUAGAAUUGCUACUCAAAAUGUUUUUU
Long non-coding RNA from Cucurbita pepo subsp. pepo (vegetable marrow), 414 nucleotides. RefSeq lists it as uncharacterized. NCBI's taxonomy places the organism in Eukaryota, Viridiplantae, Streptophyta, Magnoliopsida, Cucurbitales, Cucurbitaceae. The record is from RefSeq and is a predicted model, not a curated record.